Molecule: ribosomal RNA, 434 nt
Filed under: uncultured bacterium
Lineage: Bacteria
Description: bacterial SSU rRNA
Rfam family: Bacterial small subunit ribosomal RNA
Source: RNAcentral
AUUGAACGCUGGCGGCAUGCCUUACACAUGCAAGUCGAACGGCAGCGCGGGGCAACCUGGCGGCGAGUGGCGAACGGGUGAGUAAUAUAUCGGAACAUACCCUAGAGUGGGGAUAACGUAGCGAAAGUUACGCUAAUACCGCAUACGCACUAAGGUGGAAAGUGGGGGAUUCGCAAGAACCUCAUGCUCAUGGAGUGGCCGAUAUCUGAUUAGCUAGUUGGUGAGGUAAAGGCUCACCAAGGCAACGAUCAGUAGCUGGUUUGAGAGAACGACCAGCCACACUGGAACUGAGACACGGUCCAGACUCCUACGGGAGGCAGCAGUGGGGAAUUUUGGGACAAUGGGGGCAACCCUGAUCCAGCAAUGCCGCGUGAGUGAAGAAGGCCUCGGUUGUAAAGGUACUCUUUUGUUCAGGGAAGAAACGGUAGAGAGCC